GGGAGAGUGGCGUAAUUGGCAGCCGCGCAUGGUUUAGGCCCAUGUGUCGAAAGACGUGGGGGUUCGACUCCCUCCUCUCCUACCA
RNAcentral lists this transfer RNA (85 nucleotides) under Nitrosomonadaceae bacterium. Its description in RNAcentral is "tRNA-Leu". It matches the Rfam family "tRNA". Rfam says of the family: Transfer RNA (tRNA) molecules are approximately 80 nucleotides in length. The record is from RNAcentral. Lineage: Bacteria; Pseudomonadati; Pseudomonadota; Betaproteobacteria; Nitrosomonadales; Nitrosomonadaceae.